RNAcentral lists this ribosomal RNA (246 nucleotides) under Heterocapsa niei. It matches the Rfam family "Eukaryotic large subunit ribosomal RNA", at positions 106 to 352 of the family's 3401-position model. Lineage: Eukaryota; Dinophyceae; Peridiniales; Heterocapsaceae. The record is from RNAcentral.
AGCUCAGCAUGGAAAUCGGUCUCUGUGGCNUUGAAUUGUAGUCUCGAGAUGUACUGCCAACGGAGGCGCAGAUGUAAGCCUCUUGGAAAAGAGCAUCAACGAGGGUGAGAGUCCCGUUUGUCAUCUGCAGUCCCCGUGCACGGCGUUCUUCUCAAGAGUCACGUUCCUCGGAAAUGGAGCGCAAAGUGGGUGGNAAAUUUCAUCUAAAGCUAAAUAUANGUUCGAGACCGAUAGCAAACAAGUACC